This 253-nucleotide ribosomal RNA is filed under the name uncultured bacterium. RNAcentral's name for it is "partial 16S ribosomal RNA". It matches the Rfam family "Bacterial small subunit ribosomal RNA", at positions 524 to 776 of the family's 1533-position model. The record is from RNAcentral.
UACAGAGGGUGCUAGCGUUGUUCGGAUUCAUUGGGCGUAAAGGGUGCGUAGGCGGCGCGGUAAGUCGGGUGUGAAAUCUCGGAGCUUAACUCCGAAACUGCAUUCGAUACUGCCGUGCUUGAGGACUGGAGAGGAGACUGGAAUUUACGGUGUAGCGGUGAAAUGCGUAGAUAUCGUAAGGAAGACCAGUGGCGAAGGCGGGUCUCUGGACAGUUCCUGACGCUGAGGCACGAAGGCCAGGGGAGCAAACGGG